GUCCAGACUCCUACGGGAGGCAGCAGUGGGGAAUAUUGCACAAUGGGGGAAACCCUGAUGCAGCAACGCCGCGUGAGUGAAGAAGUAUUUCGGUAUGUAAAGCUCUAUCAGCAGGGAAGAAAAUGACGGUACCUGAGUAAGAAGCCCCGGCUAACUACGUGCCAGCAGCCGCGGUAAUACGUAGGGGGCAAGCGUUAUCCGGAUUUACUGGGUGUAAAGGGAGCGUAGACGGCGAUACAAGUCUGAAGUGAAAGCCCGGGGCUCAACCCCGGGACUGCUUUGGAAACUGUGUUGCUGGAGUGCUGGAGAGGCAAGCGGAAUUCCUAGUGUAGCGGUGAAAUGCGUAGAUAUUAGGAAGAACACCAGUGGCGAAGGCGGCUUACUGGACUGUAACUGACGUUGAGGCUCGAAGGCGUGGGGAGCAAACAGGAUUAGAUACCCCUGUACU
This 448-nucleotide ribosomal RNA is filed under the name uncultured bacterium. RNAcentral describes it as "bacterial SSU rRNA". It matches the Rfam family "Bacterial small subunit ribosomal RNA", at positions 329 to 794 of the family's 1533-position model. The record is from RNAcentral.